CGAUGGGUAGCUGGCUUGAGAGAGCGACCAGCCACACUGGAACUGAGAAACGGUCCAGACUCCUACGGGAGGCAGCAGUGAGGAAUUUUCCGCAAUGGGCGAAAGCCUGACGGAGCGACGCCGCGUGUGGGAAGAAGGCCUUCGGGUCGUAAACCACUGUCGAAGGGGACGAUAUUGACGGUACCCUUGGAGGAAGCCCCGGCUAACUACGUGCCAGCAGCCGCGGUAAGGCGUAGGGGGCAAGCGUUGUCCGGAAUUAUUGGGCGUAAAGCGCUCGUAGGUGGAUUGGCAAGUCUGCAAGGAAAGACCCGGGCUCAACUCGGGAAACCGUGUGGAUACUGCCGACCUUGAGGUAGUCAGAGGAUGAUGGAAUUCCCGGUGUAGCGGUGAAAUGCGUAGG
Molecule: ribosomal RNA, 400 nt
Filed under: uncultured bacterium
Lineage: Bacteria
Description: bacterial SSU rRNA
Rfam family: Bacterial small subunit ribosomal RNA
Source: RNAcentral